This 2961-nucleotide ribosomal RNA is filed under the name Triticum aestivum (bread wheat). Its description in RNAcentral is "partial small subunit ribosomal RNA". The record is from RNAcentral. Lineage: Eukaryota; Viridiplantae; Streptophyta; Magnoliopsida; Poales; Poaceae.
AUGGAAGCUACCACAAUCAGACAAUUACUUCUCUUGGUGUUGGUGGCUUGCAGUGCACAUGUGGUUGUUUGCGGCUCCUCCUCCUUAGAUGGAAACGAGACAGAUCGAUUGUCACUGCUUGGAUUCAAGGAUGCAAUCAGUCUCGAUCCACAACAAGCUUUACUGUCCUGGAACGACACCACCCACUUUUGCAACUGGAAGGGUGUCCUGUGUAGGGUGAAGGCUCCACAUCGUGUCACUUCUCUAAACCUUACAAGUCUAGGUUUGGUAGGAAAGAUAUCUCCUUCACUUGGGAACCUAACAUUCAUACGGUCCCUAGCCCUCACUGAAAACACAUUCACCGGAGAGAUCCCAUCCUCCCUCGGUCACCUGCGUCGCCUCCAAACCCUCCUCUUGAAUAAUAACACUCUGCAAGGACGGAUGCCGAGUUUUGCAAACUGCUCAAAGCUCAAGGUUUCAGGUAAUAACAUUACUGGCACCAUCCCAGCUUCUCUUGCCAAUAUCACAACUCUAACCAUGAUUAGCUGUGCGGAUAACCACAUCAAGGGAAACAUCCCAAGUGAGUUUGCCGAUUUGUCCAGCUUGGAGCACCUAUAUGUGGGUGGCAAUCAGCUAGCAGGUAGGUUUCCACAAGCCAUCUUGAAUCUUUCUACCCUCAUCGGCCUUGACCUUGGUCCCAAUGGUCUAAGUGGAGUGGUACCACCAAAUAUCUAUACCGCUCUCCACAAUCUACAAAUACUUGUAUUAUUUGGCAACUUUUUUCUAGGGCACAUUCCUAGUUCAUUCACUAAUGCUUCCAAUCUACACCUGAUCGAUUUGUCACAUAACAACUUCACCGGAUUGGUGCCCACCACGACUGGCAAACUUACCAAACUCUCAUAUUUAAAUCUUGAACAUAAUCAACUCCGGGCAGAUAGUAGGCAAGAUUGGAAGUUUUUGGAUAACUUAGGCAACUGCACAAAGCUACAAAUGCUCUCCUUGAGUAACAAUCGUCUAUCAGGGCAUGUACCAAGUUCUAUAGGUAACCUUUCCAAUCAACUCCAACAGUUAUACUUGGCAAAAAAUGAACUAUCAGGAAAUUUCCCUUCUGGCAUAACAAACCUUAGCAACCUGAUUAUUAUAUCAUUGGGGGCGAAUCACCUCACAGGUGUGGUUCCGGAUAUGAUUGGGACUCUUAAAACUCUGCAACUAUUAGCCUUAUGCAAAAAUUUGUUUACGGGGGUCAUUCCAUCAUCGUUGUCAAACUUGCCUCGAUUGGGAGGGCUCUAUCUAUACUCAAAUCAAUUCAUUGGCCACAUACCAUCAAGCUUUGGAAACUUUCCAAUGCUUCAAUAUUUGGACAUUUCCAACAACAAUCUUCAUGGCAGGGUUCCAAUGGGGAUCUUCAAAAUCCCAUCAAUAAUUGGAAUUAAUUUAUCAUUCAACAACCUCAGUGAACAACUUCCAACCGACAUUGGCAGUGCCAAACAACUCGUACAAUUGGGACUUUCAUCAAAUAAGCUAUUUGGAGAUAUUCCAAACACUCUAGGUGAUUGUGAAAGUUUAGAAAACAUUGAGUUAGACUCAAAUAUUUUCAGUGGAAGCAUUCCCACUUCAUUAGGCAACAUAAGCAACCUCAAAGUUCUGAAUAUUUCUGCCAAUAACAUAACUGGGUCAAUUCCAACAUCUCUAGGCAACCUACAGCUUCUUGAGAAACUAGAUUUGUCAUUCAACCAUCUUAAUGGUGAGGUUCCAACAAAAGGGAUCUUCAGGAAUGCGACUGCUGUGCGGAUUGAUGGAAAUCAGGGGCUUUGUGGUGGGAUACCGGAGUUACACAUGGUGGCAUGUUUUGUUAUUCCUUCAAAUUCAAAUAGGCACGAUGAAAAUUUGGUGCUCAAAGUAGUUAUCCCAAUAGCGAGUAUGGUGUCACUUGCUAUGGUCAUACUUGGCUUAUCGCUCUGGAAAAGAAAACACAAGUGCAAAUCUAUAGCUCUGCCAUCAUUUGCUGCAAAAUUUCCCAAAGUUUCUUUCAAUGAUCUAGCCAGAGCAACACAGGGAUUCUCAACAUCCAACUUAAUUGGCAGAGGGAGAUACAGUUCUGUAUACCAAGGAAAACUAGUGGAGGCCGAAAAUGAGGUGGCAGUAAAAGUCUUCAACCUAGAGACAGGAGGAGCACAAAAGAGCUUCAUUGCAGAAUGUAAUGCACUGAGAAAUGUGCGGCACCGUAAUCUGGUCCCUAUCCUAACUGCGUGCUCAAGCAUUGAUUCUAAUGGUAAUGAUUUCAAGGCCCUAGUGUAUGAGCUCAUGCCACAAGGAGACUUACAUAAACUACUAUACUCAACUCAAGAUCGUGAAAGCUCUUCAGAUUUGAAAUUUAUUACAUUGGCUCAAAGGAUAAGCAUUGUGGUGGAUGUAGCAGAUGCAAUGGCGUACCUCCACCACAACAACCAAGGAACAAUUAUUCAUUGUGAUCUAAAGCCUAGCAACAUUCUUUUGGAUGACAAUAUGACAGCUCAUGUCGGAGACUUUGGCCUGGCAAGAUUCAAAGCUAGUUCCACAAUGCCGUCUCUUGGUAACUCAAGCUCUUCUCUCGGUGCACUAAUGGGAACUAUCGGAUACGCUGCUCCAGAAUAUGCAGGGGGUGGUCAAGUUUCAACUGCCGGAGAUGUUUACAGCUUCGGUGUCGUUCUCCUCAAGAUAUUCAUUCGGAGAAGGCCAACUGAUGACACGUUUAAGGAUGGGCUGAGCAUUGUGAAGCUUACAGAGAUCAGCUUCCCUGGUAGGGUAUUGGAGAUUGUCGAUCCCGAGCUGCUACAGGAGUUGGAGCCUUGCCAAGAAACUCCAGUGGCCAUGAAGGAAGAUGGUAUGCACACUUUGCUAUCUAUGCUAAACGUUGGUCUUUGCUGCACCAAGCAAACUCCGGGUGAACGAAUCAACAUGCAGGAGGUGGCUGCCAAGUUACAUCGAAUCAGGGAUGAUUAG